GAGGGGAAUAUUGGACAAUGGGGGGAACCCUGAUCCAGCCAUGCCGCGUGUGUGAAGAAGGCCUUUUGGUUGUAAAGCACUUUAAGCGAGGAGGAGGCUACCGAGAUUAAUACUCUUGGAUAGUGGACGUUACUCGCAGAAUAAGCACCGGCUAACUCUGUGCCAGCAGCCGCGGUAAUACAGAGGGUGCAAGCGUUAAUCGGAUUUACUGGGCGUAAAGCGCGCGUAGGUGGCCAAUUAAGUCAAAUGUGAAAUCCCCGAGCUUAACUUGGGAAUUGCAUUCGAUACUGGUUGGCUAGAGUAUGGGAGAGGAUGGUAGAAUUCCAGGUGUAGCGGUGAAAUGCGUAGAGAUCUGGAGGAAUACCGAUGGCGAAGGCAGCCAUCUGGCCUAAUACUGACACUGAGGUGCGAAAGCAUGGGGAGCAAACAGGAUUAGAAACCCUGGUAGUCC
This 451-nucleotide ribosomal RNA is filed under the name uncultured bacterium. Its description in RNAcentral is "partial 16S ribosomal RNA". It matches the Rfam family "Bacterial small subunit ribosomal RNA", at positions 354 to 796 of the family's 1533-position model. The record is from RNAcentral.